Molecule: long non-coding RNA, 2127 nt
Organism: Oncorhynchus gorbuscha (pink salmon)
Lineage: Eukaryota; Metazoa; Chordata; Actinopteri; Salmoniformes; Salmonidae
Exons: 2
Source: RefSeq, a predicted model, not a curated record
UUCUGUUAUUGUGUCUGUCUGUCUGUUCUGUUAUUGUGACUGAGUCUGUCUGUCUGUCUGUUCUGUUAUUGUAUUUUGUUUUGUUUUGUUGCACAAAACUAUCCACACAGUACUUCUUCUUUGCAUCCCAAAAAAGCACAAUAAUUCUCUUUUCUAGUGCACUACUGUUGACCAGGCUCCAUAAGGCUUCAGUUAAAGUAGUGCACUACUGUUGACCAGGCUCCAUAAGGCUUCAGUUAAAGUAGUGCACUACUGUUGAACCCCUUGCAGUUCAGACCCCACUUGGAGAACCCCUGAUAUAGGGGAUAGGGUGCUAUUUGGCGAUGUACCCCUUAUAUUGUAAAGGUUGUGGGCAAUAUAACUCUGAGCAAUGCUUCUACUGAACUGUGGAGUGAGUUUCUCCAGAAAACAAAGAUUAUCUUUAGCCUUCAGAUCAUUGUCUAUCCAUUGGACUUGAGAUGAUAUUUUACAUUUUUAGGAAACGUACCCCUGGACUUUCCCAGACACAUUAAGAUUAGUAGUCCUGGACAAAACAAUAUUUUUGAUAUAGAUUCUCCUUUGAGCUUUUUAAUCCACGGCUGAGGCAGGGAUUCAAUCCGGUCGCAGGUUACAGGCAGUGUUCCCACGUCCGUGGAGAACCCAUGCACAGUAAACGCUACGUAUGGCAGCUCAAUCGGAAAUUACCUUUAAAAAAACGCAACGCUUAUAACCCGCGAUCGGAUUUAAUCAGGUCUAAAUCGUGUGCCCAGGAAACCACCAUCUUUCAGUUACCUAGCCAUAUUGUAACAGACUGUAUUUAAUUAGUUUCAUGUUUCUGACGUGGACAUUAUGGAACUCAUAGGAAAUGCAGGUGUCUUUGCUAAGUGUCCAUAGGGGUGCUGCAAUGAUGCAUAUUUUGCAAACAUUUGAUUGACAAUUGCUCGUAUGAACUUAGAGCCAUUGAAUAUGCAUUACUCAGUAUAUGUUGAUUAUACCUGCAAUAGAGGCCACCAUGUUUGGGCAGAAAGCAUUGUUUUGAUAUGUAAUACAGUACCUGCAAUUUACAUGUAUGCAACUGUAGCCUUGGAUACCAGGCGUAGCCAACGAGACCAGAUCUGGAAGGAUGGUUCCGCGAGACUAAUGCAACGGUCUUACAAGUACCGGUCUACUAAAAAAAAACUCACUGUGGAUUUGAUCCUCUGUGCUGACUGCCUGCCUGUUACCCACUGAGGUGACUGCCUGGAUGUUACCCACUGAGGUGACUGACUGGAUGUUACCCACUGAGGUGACUGACUGGAUGUUACCCACUGAGGUGACUGCCUGGAUGUUACCCACUGAGGUGACUGACUGGAUGUUACCCACUGAGGUGACUGACUGGAUGUUACCCACUGAGGUGACUGACUGGAUGUUACCCACUGAGGUGACUGCCUGCCUGCCUGUUACCCACUGAGGUGACUGCCUGGAUGUUACCCACUGAGGUGACUGCCUGGAUGUUACCCACUGAGGUGACUGCCUGGAUGUUACCCACUGAGGUGACUGACUGCCUGCCUGUUACCCACUGAGGUGACUGACCGACUGCCUGUUACCCACUGAGGUGACUGACCGCCUGCCUGUUACCCACUGAGGUGACUGACCGCCUGCCUGUUACCCACUGAGGUGACUGACCGCCUGCCUGUUACCCACUGAGGUGACUGACCGCCUGCCUGUUACCCACUGAGGUGACUGACCGCCUGCCUGUUACCCACUGAGGUGACUGACCGCCUGCCUGUUACCCACUGAGGUGACUGACCGCCUGCCUGUUACCCACUGAGGUGACUGACCGCCUGCCUGUUACCCACUGAGGUGACUGACCGCCUGCCUGUUACCCACUGAGGUGACUGACCGCCUGCCUGUUACCCACUGAGGUGACUGACCGCCUGCCUGUUACCCACUGAGGUGACUGACCGCCUGCCUGUUACCCACUGAGGUGACUGACCGACUGCCUUCAGGAUGUUUAUACCCCAACAAGAUGCCUUAUGACCUUGUCAUCGCAACAAGGAAAUGUCUGUAUAUCUAUAUGCACUUAGUCUUCCUCUGUCCCAGUACUAUCAUGUAGCAUUUGUAUAGGUAUGUAUGCCUUUUGUAUGAAUAAAUAUUUGUAAUAUUUAA